This 466-nucleotide ribosomal RNA is filed under the name Escherichia coli. Its description in RNAcentral is "bacterial SSU rRNA". It matches the Rfam family "Bacterial small subunit ribosomal RNA", at positions 30 to 483 of the family's 1533-position model. Lineage: Bacteria; Pseudomonadati; Pseudomonadota; Gammaproteobacteria; Enterobacterales; Enterobacteriaceae. The record is from RNAcentral.
AUUGAACGCUGGCGGCAGGCCUAACACAUGCAAGUCGAACGGUAACAGGAAGAAGCUUGCUUCUUUGCUGACGAGUGGCGGACGGGUGAGUAAUGUCUGGGAAACUGCCUGAUGGAGGGGGAUAACUACUGGAAACGGUAGCUAAUACCGCAUAACGUCGCAAGACCAAAAAGGGGGACCUUCGGGCCUCUUGCCAUCGGAUGUGCCCAGAUGGGAUUAGCUAGUAGGUGGGGUAACGGCUCACCUAGGCGACGAUCCCUAGCUGGUCUGAGAGGAUGACCAGCCACACUGGAACUGAGACACGGUCCAGACUCCUACGGGAGGCAGCAGUGGGGAAUAUUGCACAAUGGGCGCAAGCCUGAUGCAGCCAUGCCGCGUGUAUGAAGAAGGCCUUCGGGUUGUAAAGUACUUUCAGCGGGGAGGAAGGGAGUAAAGUUAAUACCUUUGCUCAUUGACGUUACCCGCA